CCUACGGGUGGCUGCAGUGAGGAAUAUUGGUCAAUGGAGGAGAGUCUGAACCAGCCAAGUCGCGUGAAGGAUGACUGCCCUCUGGGUUGUAAACUUCUUUUAUAUGGGAAUAAAAUGUUCCACGUGUGGGAUUUUGUAUGUACCAUAUGAAUAAGGAUCGGCUCACUCCGUGCCAGCAGCCGCGGUAAUACGGAGGAUCCGAGCGUUAUCCGGAUUUAUUGGGGUUAAAGGGAGCGUAGGUGGAUUCUUAAGUCAGUUGUGAAAGUUUGCCGCUCAACAGUAAAAUUGCAGUUGAAACUGGCAGUCUUGAGUACAGUAGAGGUGGGCGGAAGUCGUGGUGUAGCGGUGAAAUGCUUAGAUAUCACGAAGAACUCCGAUUGCGAAGGCAGUUCACUGGACUGCAACUGACACUGAGGCUCGAAAGUGUGGGUAUCAAACAGGAUUAGAUACCCGAGUAGUC
This 460-nucleotide ribosomal RNA is filed under the name uncultured bacterium. RNAcentral describes it as "partial 16S ribosomal RNA". It matches the Rfam family "Bacterial small subunit ribosomal RNA", at positions 338 to 795 of the family's 1533-position model. The record is from RNAcentral.